Molecule: long non-coding RNA, 571 nt
Organism: Chenopodium quinoa (quinoa)
Lineage: Eukaryota; Viridiplantae; Streptophyta; Magnoliopsida; Caryophyllales; Amaranthaceae
Exons: 2
Source: RefSeq, a predicted model, not a curated record
UAAAGGAAUGAUUGUAUUUACCACAUGUUGUACUAGCAACUAAGUCUACUGACUUACCUACUCAUGUUGGGGACCCUCUUUCACGCAAGAAAAAGGCCCAUAGGCCAAGGACUAAAAGAUUCCUAGCCUGUACAGAAAAGAAAGGGAAGAAAGCAUCUACUUCGGUGCAGCAACAAACUCAAGCUACUGCAUCAGGCAUUCCGGUUCAGUGUUAUGGCUUGAAUGUUGAUGAACCUGUGACUCCAAUUCCGAAGCCAAGGAAAAAAAGAGCUAGGAAGGCCAAGGCCAACACUGAUGUACGAUUAGUGCAAUCUGUUUUUGGUAAUGAUGGGCCGGUGUUAAGUCCACAAAAUCGGUGGGUUGGAGGUAUUGGAUAUGGUCCGGCCUACGGUGAACUUUGCUACUUCACUAGGUCUUAUAAUAAUUGUCCAAACUGGGUAGCACGGGAUGUCCUUCCAUUUGUUUCCGGUGCUGGACUUUAUACAAUGGCAACAACACCUUCCAAUUAGAGGGCCUAUUUUUGUAUAAAGCUACAUUUAACUUAUAUUCCUAUUAUAAGCUUCCCCUUCAA